UUGUACAUGCUAAAUUUAUAAUCAAUAUACAAGUUUGGACAGUAACCCAUCAAUGUAGUCCUCUUUAAAAAGGGAAGCAUCACCUUUGAAGCAAGCUAAGCAUGUGGUCGAUUUUCCCAAUCCACAGCCUUCUCCUCCUCGGGUGUUAUCAGUUUCAUGUGGUCGAUCCCGCAGAUCCUUUUACGCAUUACCACCAAAAAAUAUCGUUGAUUCUUCUCCGCCGCCAUCCCUUCCUUCUCACAGCACAAGUCAAGCAGUGCAAUUAACAAGGUCCUACAAUGAAACAACUAAACUGAGAACUCAUAAGCCUGUGCAAAUUCUAGGGGAGGAUUGAGAAUGGGCAAAUCUUCUUAUAGGAUAUAUACACCUACAAGUAGAUCGGAAGACAAGAUAUCAAAAUGUACAUCGCAUUGUAGAGUAACUCGAAUUUGUAAAGCUGAUUCUAGAGCUGAAGUUAUCCAGUGUCGACAAAGGGAACUUUCAUAGUGGAUCAAAGUAAAGACAAAGAGAACUUCUGCAGUCAAGGAAUUGCUUUUGCUGUGCGCAAGGAUGUGCAAUCAUUGAACUAGUAAGCACCUGCAUUUCAUCAUUUCUUUCUUGUAUCUUUUUCCAAGUAACUUUUGCUGCUGACAACUUGUACACUCAAGUCUUAUACAACACUGAAAGCUUUUCCUCUUGUUCUGUUGAUAAUAUGAUAAAAUCUACCAUUGGGAAGUGUAUGGUAUAGCCUUGAAGGCUACAGCUCAUAUGGGAAACUCAAUUUAAUAUUGCUUAUCCAAAAGCAGAACCGUAGACUGAGGCUGCCAUAAGCAAAGAAGGCAUUGCUCAUUAUUAGAAUUAUAGGCGUUGUAAUUGGAAGUUCUUUAUGAGGUUCAAGGUCCUUGAGAAUGGGAGUUUGUGCUGGGACUACUUCCAAAGAAGUGGUCAAGAAGCAGGAAAGGAACCUGAUAUCAUGAUCAGUUGGUCACUGAGAUCCCCAUUUUUCUGAGUUUGAAUUACAAAUGUUCUUCACUCACUAUCUGUGCUCUAUGCUUUCCUUUCCUUUUAGAAGUUCAUAUGUCAUAAUGUCAGUGAGUAAUGUGUGAUUAAGUGUAAAAUGGAAAGAUGUUGUCAUACUUGAGAUGUUCUUGGACACAACCAUCAGUAGACAAUAGUUAUUGCUUAUUUCUCUCAAAAUAAG
This is a long non-coding RNA of Arachis stenosperma, 1180 nucleotides long. RefSeq lists it as uncharacterized. The record is from RefSeq and is a predicted model, not a curated record. The transcript is spliced from 3 exons. Lineage: Eukaryota; Viridiplantae; Streptophyta; Magnoliopsida; Fabales; Fabaceae.